UAAACCCCUUGCACCAAGCGCCUAGGGCCGCAACUCUAUCAAGCUACCGGAGACUUCAUAUUCCCUAGAUUUCUCUAGCUGUAUAGGAGCAAUGGCACCCGCUGCCAUGACAUCUUCAGGCACCUCAGUUGCUCCAUUCCAGGGGCUCGAGUCCACCACUAGCUGGCCUCCCCGUGAGCCGCCGGUCUAGCACCUGUGGCUUCGGCAACGUCUGCAACGGCCGAAGGAUCAGGUGCAUCACCACUGGAUGCAGUUGUGGCCGAUUGAUACCCAUGUUCCGCUGCACUGACGCCAACCCAGGUGUACCGUGUACGCCGAGCUCGAGGAGGCCAAGAAGGCCUUCCCCGACGCCUACAUCUGUAUCCUCGGCUACGACAACGUCAGGCAAGUGCAGUGCAUCAUGUUCAUCGCCUACAGCCCCCGGGCUGGGAGGAGGCCGUCGGUGCCUAAGCAUAUCGUCUAGUGAGACUCAGCUGCCAUUUCUCAUCAAGAUGGUGAAGAUUUCGGGCCCCUUCUGAAGUAUAGACAUCAUCUACUCGGUUUAAGGGACGGGAGCUGGAUCAGAAGCAAAAUUGGGCCAGGCUGCCACCCCAAUGGGGUACCAGGCCGAUUGGCUGGGGUCCUUUCUGGCCCUCUAGGUGUUCAUCUUCCACAUGUAGGAUCCGUCCCGUCAAUGAUCCAGCCAUAUGUUGAUUCCGUUCAAAAGAAACUUUGCUAGGUUGACCCCGAUGGAAACUAUAGCACUUCUAUCAUGGAGAGGAGACACACGCUGGAGUGGGGUUGUAUGAUGAUUCUUGCCUCCAUGAUCUAAAUCAUAAAAAACUUCAAUUCACUUUCCGUAUAAUGACAUUGUCAUGUUGUUCCUAUUUACAUCAUACAUUCGUUUUCCUUUAUUUCACAAAGCUAACUAUGCAUUUGAAUUUGAUGGCCUCACCCUUUUGUAUUAACUAGAAUUUACAAAUUCAUGAAUUUAUGAUUACUGUGACAUUAUUCAUUGCAAGUUUGCAACUCGGUUGUGGCAAGACUAAUGAGAAGGACAGCAGGUAUUAUGUAACCCUUUUUUUAUAUAUCAUCAACUGAUCUGGUACAGACAUGAAGUACGUGAGAUUUGAUUGACAGAGAAGCAUACAUAUAUAAGGUUGAGGAAACAUUGAUACAAAAACACCGUACCAGUAAUUAACACGGUCUAGUAUAUAUUGUCGGCGGAUUUUGGCAGAUAAUUUGCUCUAGAUAGUAUCCAUAUUACAGAUCAUAUAUAGCCGGAGCUUGCAUUGACACCAUGCCCCUCACCCAACAUAACUCUCCGGUUGGGGGGAGAGAGAUAGAUGACAUGCAUGCCAUGGAUACAGCAUCAGAAAGCAACCAUGAAAAUCAAAAGAAAGAAAAUCAAGGUGACCCGAUCGAAGCAAGCAGAAACAAAACAGACACUCCAUGGCUGCUCAUGCAGGAGCUGAUGAGCUAGUCUCGGUCGGCGGCUGCGCUUAUUAGGCGGCGCCCGAGGGCUUGUAGGCGAUGAACAUGACGCACUGCACCUGCCUGACGUUGUCGAACCCGAGGAUGCGGAUGUAGUUGUCCGGGUAGGCCUUCUUGCACUCCUCGAGCUCGGCGUACACCUGGGUCGCGUCCGUGCAGCCGAACAUGGGCAGCUUCCACAUGGUCCAGUAGCGCCCGUCGUAGUACCCGGGGGAAGUGGCGUUCUCGCGGAAGACGAAGCCGACCUUGCUGAACUCGAGGCAGGGGACCCAGUUGUUGCGGAUCAGGUAGUCGACCUGCUUCAGGAGGUCCUCCGUGGAGAGCGGCGGCAGGUACGACAGCGUCUCGAACUUCUUGUUGUUCUCCGUCGGCCACACCUGAUGAGAUUUUGAGUUGCGUUCAGCUCAUCAUCGAUCAGUUUUAGUCACCAGCAGCAGCAUCAAGAAGAAGAAUCCAAUUCCAGUUCCAGCUA
Long non-coding RNA from Panicum virgatum (switchgrass), 1945 nucleotides. RefSeq lists it as uncharacterized. Lineage: Eukaryota; Viridiplantae; Streptophyta; Magnoliopsida; Poales; Poaceae. The transcript is spliced from 5 exons. The record is from RefSeq and is a predicted model, not a curated record.